This 531-nucleotide long non-coding RNA is filed under the name Oryza sativa tropical japonica subgroup. RNAcentral's name for it is "lncRNA OsCMeo_02g0022410". The record is from RNAcentral. RNAcentral also lists the same sequence under 1 other name. Lineage: Eukaryota; Viridiplantae; Streptophyta; Magnoliopsida; Poales; Poaceae.
UGAAGGAGUGGCUCCGCUUGCUGGGCCACCUCGUUACCGGAUGCCGGAAGCUCCCCGCGCCAGCGCUGCUUGGGCAAACUACGUGGUCGCGCUGUUGAUGCAGGUCAAGGCCAUGUUCUCGUAGACCUCCUGGCCGCCGCCGCCAGUGACGCGUGCGACAGGGGGCGCCGCGUCGAUGAGCAGCGAGCGGCACAUUACGUCGGAGAUCGAGGAGUAGCGCCGCAGCGACGGCAGUGGGGCGGCGCGACCAUGCGCUUGCGGUGGCGAUCGAUCCCCUCCCAUUUUUAUUUCUUUCAGCUUGCAAUCGAUUUGGUUGGUUGCCUUGUUGAUCAAUCGGAGAAGGAGGUGAAGGUCGCCGGCGUAUCGCUAUCUUUCCUAUUUUUCUCAUCACGGCCCUACACGGGCUCGACGGCGACGCCAUCCGCCGCGGGCGACGUCACCGACGGUGACCAUGAACUGUGUCGCAUCGGGGUUGUCCGCCACCACGUGGCUGAAUUGAAACCUAACGACGAAGCCGCCGGACACGAAUGC